UAAACGAAAAAUUUCAUUGAA
Molecule: non-coding RNA, 21 nt
Organism: Caenorhabditis elegans
Lineage: Eukaryota; Metazoa; Nematoda; Chromadorea; Rhabditida; Rhabditidae
Source: Ensembl